RNAcentral lists this long non-coding RNA (639 nucleotides) under Lathyrus oleraceus (garden pea). Its description in RNAcentral is "Pisum sativum (pea) long non-coding RNA (PSAT_LNC012711)". The record is from RNAcentral. Lineage: Eukaryota; Viridiplantae; Streptophyta; Magnoliopsida; Fabales; Fabaceae.
AAAGUAUCAUGAAUGAUCUCUUGAUCAUUCAUUGAUAGGUUUGAAGUAUUGAAGAUUUUAUCAACCCUAAAAAACCAAAGUCAUGGCCAAUAGAUUUCAUCAACCAUUUAACAACAAAGAAAUAAAAAGUCAACAAAAUUAGUCAAAAUAAAAUAAAUGAUGGAUGAAUAAAAUAUGUGGGUGAAAAUAAAUAGAUGUGAUUAAUAAAAUGUUGGAUUAAAAAUAAAAUAAGUGGUGAAAAUAUGGAAUAAAAAUGUGAUUAAUAAAAUGUUGGAUUAAAAAUAAAAUAAGCGGUGAAAAUAUGGAAUAAAAAUGUGAUUAAUAAAAUGUUGGAUUAAAAAUAAAAUAAGUGGUGAAAAUGUGGAAUAAAAAUGAAAAAAAGAAAUAAGUUAAAAUGAAGAAAAAUAGAAAAUAAAAGAGAAAAAGGAAGAAAAUAAACAAGUGAGGGUGUUAGGGUUGAACCCCUGACCUUGGGGUCAACCCUCAUUCCACUGGGCCAAGCGCCCUUUGGUGAUAAAUGACGUGUUCAAUGAAAUAAAUAAUAAACAUACAAAUAAAAUUAAACACUGGUGAAAUCUUGGCCACUGGAUUAAGUGACUUAUGAAAAGUAAACUCAGUCAAUAAUCCAGAUCAAAAAAG